This 569-nucleotide unclassified non-coding RNA is filed under the name Hevea brasiliensis (rubber tree). Lineage: Eukaryota; Viridiplantae; Streptophyta; Magnoliopsida; Malpighiales; Euphorbiaceae. The record is from RNAcentral.
UUUAACACUCCUCCUUGAUUUUUUUGCUGAAGACUCCAAAUUAAGUUGUCUUGGAGCAAUAUCUCUCCAAUUUUCUGCUUUGAUUGAUUGUCUUUGGAGCACAUCUCUAUAAUUCUUUCUUCAUGGAGCACUUCUCUCCAACAUUCUUCAUUCACUUUUGGUGUACAUGUCAUCAUUGCUUUGAUUUUCUGGUGCACUUAUCACCAUUUUUCUGCUUCUUUCGAGUGCACUUGCUCGCCAUUGUUCUCUUUGUCUUGGUGCACUUUCUCACAAGAAAUAUUUGUCUCUUCAAAACAUAAAUUUUUCUUCUUGAAAUAAUCCUCCUCCUGUAGGCUAUCAUGGGCUUGCUUAAUUGUGUAGUUGCUGUCAUCCCAUCCUUGUCAAGAUCAAACUCUAACCACGUCCUUUAAGAUCAAAAAAGCACUGAUGCCAUUUGUUGGAUUUGAAGGGAGAAAAAACUAAGAACGUAUUUAUACUUGAACGAGGAGGAGAGAAAAGACAAACUCAUUACUAAAAAUAGAGGAUUUACAAACACAAAUUUAAAGUUUUUUUCUUUCUUUUCUUCCUCA